This 492-nucleotide ribosomal RNA is filed under the name Salmonella enterica subsp. enterica serovar Muenchen. RNAcentral describes it as "partial 23S ribosomal RNA". It matches the Rfam family "Bacterial large subunit ribosomal RNA", at positions 161 to 692 of the family's 2925-position model. Lineage: Bacteria; Pseudomonadati; Pseudomonadota; Gammaproteobacteria; Enterobacterales; Enterobacteriaceae. The record is from RNAcentral.
AAUCCAUAGGUUAAUGAGGCGAACCGGGGGAACUGAAACAUCUAAGUACCCCGAGGAAAAGAAAUCAACCGAGAUUCCCCCAGUAGCGGCGAGCGAACGGGGAGGAGCCCAGAGCCUGAAUCAGCAUGUGUGUUAGUGGAAGCGUCUGGAAAGGCGCGCGAUACAGGGUGACAGCCCCGUACACAAAAGCGCAUGUGCUGUGAGCUCGAUGAGUAGGGCGGGACACGUGGUAUCCUGUCUGAAUAUGGGGGGACCAUCCUCCAAGGCUAAAUACUCCUGACUGACCGAUAGUGAACCAGUACCGUGAGGGAAAGGCGAAAAGAACCCCGGCGAGGGGAGUGAAAAAGAACCUGAAACCGUGUACGUACAAGCAGUGGGAGCACAGGUUUACCUGUGUGACUGCGUACCUUUUGUAUAAUGGGUCAGCGACUUAUAUUCUGUAGCAAGGUUAACCGUAUAGGGGAGCCGGAGGGAAACCGAGUCUUAACCGGG